GAGGGAUCAUUACAGAGUUGCAAGACUCCCCCAAACCAUCGCGAACGCUACCCCUAAACCGUUGCUUCGGCGGGCGGCGCCCCCGCGCGCCCCUGGGCCCGCACACCCGCGGGCGCCCGCCGGAGGUUGCACAGAAACUCUCUGACACCCGUUGGCCGCUCUGAGUCUUUUGUGUACCGAAUAAGUCAAAACUUUCAACAACGGAUCUCUUGGUUCUGGCAUCGAUGAAGAACGCAGCGAAAUGCGAUAAGUAAUGUGAAUUGCAGAAUUCCGUGAAUCAUCGAAUCUUUGAACGCACAUUGCGCCCGCCAGAUUCUCCCUGGCGGGCAUGCCUGUUCGAGCGUCAUUUCGCCCAUCAAGCCCACGGCUUGUGUUGGGGACCUGCGGCCGCCCGCAGGCCCCGAAAACCAGUGGCGGGCUCGCUAGUCACACCGAGCGUAGUAGCAACGCGAAACCUCGCUCAGGGCGUGCUGCGGGUUCCGGCCGUAAAACGCCAACACACCCCAAGGUUGACCUCGGAU
This is a ribosomal RNA of 521 nucleotides. The stretch from base 190 to 346 matches the Rfam family "5.8S ribosomal RNA".